UACGUAGAGCGCAAGCGUUAUCCGGAAUUAUUGGGCGUAAAGAGCUCGUAGGCGGUGUGUCGCGUCGGCCGUGAAAACCUGGGGCUUAACUCUGGGCGUGCGGUCGAUACGGGCAUCACUAGAGUUCGGCAGGGGAGACUGGAAUUCCUGGUGUAGCGGUGAAAUGCGCAGAUAUCAGGAGGAACACCGAUGGCGAAGGCGGGUCUCUGGGCCGAUACUGACGCUGAGGAGCGAAAGCAUGGGUAGCGAACAGG
Molecule: ribosomal RNA, 254 nt
Filed under: uncultured bacterium
Lineage: Bacteria
Description: partial 16S ribosomal RNA
Rfam family: Bacterial small subunit ribosomal RNA
Source: RNAcentral